CAGCAGCCGCGGUAAUACGGAGGAUCCGAGCGUUAUCCGGAAUUAUUGGGUUUAAAGGGUGCGUAGGCGGCCAGAUAAGUCAGGGGUGAAAGUCGGCAGCUCAACUGUCGCAGUGCCUUUGAUACUGUUUGGCUUGAAUUCGGUUGAAGAUGGCGGAAUGAGACAAGUAGCGGUGAAAUGCAUAGAUAUGUCUCAGAACCCCGAUUGCGAAGGCAGCUAUCUAAGCCGUUAUUGACGCUGAUGCACGAAAGCGUGGGUAGCAAACAGGAUUAGAUACCCUGGUAGUCCACGCCCUAAACGAUGAUAACUCGAUGUUGGCGAUAUACAGUCAGCGUCUUAGCGAAAGCGUUAAGUUAUCCACCUGGGGAGUACGCCGGCAACGGUGAAACUCAAAGGAAUUGACGG
RNAcentral lists this ribosomal RNA (405 nucleotides) under uncultured bacterium. Its description in RNAcentral is "bacterial SSU rRNA". It matches the Rfam family "Bacterial small subunit ribosomal RNA", at positions 509 to 916 of the family's 1533-position model. The record is from RNAcentral.